This is a long non-coding RNA of Pipistrellus kuhlii (Kuhl's pipistrelle), 252 nucleotides long. RefSeq lists it as uncharacterized. The record is from RefSeq and is a predicted model, not a curated record. The transcript has 3 exons. NCBI's taxonomy places the organism in Eukaryota, Metazoa, Chordata, Mammalia, Chiroptera, Vespertilionidae.
AACAAGGAAACAGAGACAAAAUUAAACAAGGCUAAACGGUUUGGGCAACUUACAGACAGCUUGUGAAUCACAAGACCUUCCCUUCCCUAACCAAGCACACUUGAGAGCAAAGAGUUUAUACCCUCCUCCCUAAUCAGAAAAUGCAUAGCUUAAAUCACCCUGGCCUGGGAAAAUAGAGAACAAACACCCAAUUAAUGCCAUGGGUGCCAGCUACACCCAAGGACAAAUAACAAAAACCUCAUUAAUACCAGA